GAUGAACGCUGGCGGCGUGCCUAAUACAUGCAAGUCGAGCGAACGGACGAGAAGCUUGCUUUUCUGAUGUUAGCGGCGGACGGGUGAGUAACACGUGGAUAACCUACCUAUAAGACUGGGAUAACUUCGGGAAACCGGAGCUAAUACCGGAUAAUAUUUUGAACCGCAUGGUUCAAAAGUGAAAGACGGUCUUGCUGUCACUUAUAGAUGGAUCCGCGCUGCAUUAGCUAGUUGGUAAGGUAACGGCUUACCAAGGCAACGAUGCAUAGCCGACCUGAGAGGGUGAUCGGCCACACUGGAACUGAGACACGGUCCAGACUCCUACGGGAGGCAGCAGUAGGGAAUCUUCCGCAAUGGGCGAAAGCCUGACGGAGCAACGCCGCGUGAGUGAUGAAGGUCUUCGGAUCGUAAAACUCUGUUAUUAGGGAAGAACAUAUGUGUAAGUAACUGUGCACAUCUUGACGGUACCUAAUCAGAAAGCCACGGCUAACUACGUGCCAGCAGCCGCGGUAAUACGUAAGUGGCAAGCGUUAUCCGGAAUUAUUGGGCGUAAAGCGCGCGUAGGCGGUUUUUUAAGUCUGAUGUGAAAGCCCACGGCUCAACCGUGGAGGGUCAUUGGAAACUGGAAAACUUGAGUGCAGAAGAGGAAAGUGGAAUUCCAUGUGUAGCGGUGAAAUGCGCAGAGAUGUGGAGGAACAUCAGUGGCGAAGGCGACUUUCUGGUCUGUAACUGACGCUGAUGUGCGAAAGCGUGGGGAUCAAACAGGAUUAGAUACCCUGGUAGUCCACGCCGUAAACGAUGAGUGCUAAGUGUUAGGGGGUUUCCGCCCCUUAGUGCUGCAGCUAACGCAUUAAGCACUCCGCCUGGGGAGUACGACCGCAAGGUUGAAACUCAAAGGAAUUGACGGGGGCCCGCACAAGCGGUGGAGCAUGUGGUUUAAUUCGAAGCAACGCGAAGAACCUUACCAAAUCUUGACAUCCUUUGACAACUCUAGAGAUAGAGCCUUCCCCUUCGGGGGACAAAGUGACAGGUGGUGCAUGGUUGUCGUCAGCUCGUGUCGUGAGAUGUUGGGUUAAGUCCCGCAACGAGCGCAACCCUUAAGCUUAGUUGCCAUCAUUAAGUUGGGCACUCUAAGUUGACUGCCGGUGACAAACCGGAGGAAGGUGGGGAUGACGUCAAAUCAUCAUGCCCCUUAUGAUUUGGGCUACACACGUGCUACAAUGGACAAUACAAAGGGCAGCGAAACCGCGAGGUCAAGCAAAUCCCAUAAAGUUGUUCUCAGUUCGGAUUGUAGUCUGCAACUCGACUACAUGAAGCUGGAAUCGCUAGUAAUCGUAGAUCAGCAUGCUACGGUGAAUACGUUCCCGGGUCU
Molecule: ribosomal RNA, 1372 nt
Filed under: uncultured bacterium
Lineage: Bacteria
Description: bacterial SSU rRNA
Rfam family: Bacterial small subunit ribosomal RNA
Source: RNAcentral